UAAGGUUCGACUCGAGCGAAGCGAGAGAACGUUGCCGCAGGCAACGGCCCGAAGGGCGAGGAGCGAUAGCGACGAGUUAUCCUUCCCCCACCACCA
This 96-nucleotide small RNA is filed under the name Klebsiella pneumoniae. RNAcentral describes it as "RtT sRNA". It matches the Rfam family "RtT RNA", at positions 37 to 130 of the family's 130-position model. Rfam says of the family: This family represents a bacterial cis-regulatory element known as RtT RNA. The exact function of RtT is unknown although it is thought that it may be involved in changing the cellular response in relation to amino acid starvation. The record is from RNAcentral. Lineage: Bacteria; Pseudomonadati; Pseudomonadota; Gammaproteobacteria; Enterobacterales; Enterobacteriaceae.